AACAUGGAGAGUUUGAUCCUGGCUCAGGAUGAACGCUGGCGGCGUGCUUAACACAUGCAAGUCGAACGAAGUCUUCGGACUUAGUGGCGGACGGGUGAGUAACGCGUGAGGAUCUGCCUUCAGGUUGGGGACAACCACUGGAAACGGUGGCUAAUACCCAAUGUGCCGAGAGGUGAAAGGUUAACUGCCUGGAGAUGAACUCGCGUCUGAUUAGCUAGUUGGUAGUGUAAGGGACUACCAAGGCGACGAUCAGUAGCUGGUCUAAGAGGAUGAUCAGCCACACUGGGACUGAGACACGGCCCAGACUCCUACGGGAGGCAGCAGUGGGG
RNAcentral lists this ribosomal RNA (329 nucleotides) under Leptolyngbya sp. LCM1.Bin17. RNAcentral describes it as "bacterial SSU rRNA". It matches the Rfam family "Bacterial small subunit ribosomal RNA", at positions 1 to 359 of the family's 1533-position model. Lineage: Bacteria; Bacillati; Cyanobacteriota; Cyanophyceae; Leptolyngbyales; Leptolyngbyaceae. The record is from RNAcentral.